UCCAUCUCUUUUGUGUUCGAUUUGGAGUUGGUUCUCCGUUCGUGAAGCUCCCUCUCUUCUCUGCUACAGGAGAGCAUCUCUCUCUGAUCAUGAAGCAGCCCCAACCCUAGCCCUUCUUUGGCCAUGGCGGCUGAGUAGGCAGGAGAUUUCCUGUUGAUGAGAGAGGAACAAUAAUGCCAGUCGUUCAGUACUUCAAGCCUUCAAGGACAUAUACAACUGCAAUCUGCAGUAUACUACUUGGCCCUGCCUGCAGUCUGGAAGUGAUUAUCGGCCUGUAUAUUUGCCUAUGGAGGUACUGUAUCUAUCCAUGAAUGCUUCCUCAUGUUUUAAUUAGAUAGCAUUUGUCCAGUGUUUCCUACAAAUUGGUUGUAGGCAUGCAAGCUUGUUGAAGGGCAAAGGUACUCUAAGAAGUUGAAUUAUAAACAGGUCACCAACGUACUUAGAGCUAGUUGUCAACGUCCCCAGCAGAGGGAGCAAAGCACUCAUGAGGCACCUGUAUUUAGAUGCUGUGAAUACUGAUAGUAAAUUAUUUUUUCUUAUAGUCUGGAUCAUCUGCUGCACAUUUGUUAAUUUUUUUGAUGACCAGAUUUAGCUAGGCAAUUUCAUGAGUGGGUGCCUGUACAAAUUGCUCGAGUAUUUUCAGCCACGUCAAUGUCCAGCACCUCUUGUAACAAUAUGGACGGCCACUACUUCUUCGGCUCAAGCGAUCGACCCCUUCACCGGCGAUGAAUCGACGUCCGGAGCUCUACAGAAACUACCAGCAUGACAGUUGCAAAUACGAGGAGCAGUGCAGGUUCGUGCACGCCAACUCUAACCAACAGUGAAGCCCAACCAAUUCAGGUUUUGGUACCGGGAGCAGGCAACAGCCGCAACAUAUUGUUUAGUAGGUAUUACUAUUAACCAUGGAAAGCUAAAAAAUUGUCGGCACAUCAUCUACUCUAUAAGAUUCCCUCGGAAGAAAAUACUUUAUAAGAUGCUAAAUCUAUUAAUCACACUUGAAAUCCUUGGUUUCAGAGGCAUGCUAAUUAAUCAAUUGAGCAACAACUCAAUCCUGGAGGUAGUGCAGGAUUAUGGAAACUAUUUUAUGAUUUCAUAAUUUUUCUUUUCCAUCUUCUUUCAGUUCUUACCCAUUGCUCUGCUUUUGUAUUCUGCUAUCCUCUGUUGUAGUUUUGUGAGUUUAUCUGUUGUUAAUCCACCAACAGAAGGAAUGCAACAGAAAUGUGCAUGUUAAUGCUUACUAGAUACAUGAUUUCUUUCUUCCGUAGACGAUCCAAAUAUGGGCAUGUAUACUUCAAGACUUAAUUCUAACCAGGCGCUAAGGAAAUCCGCUCUGAACUAAGUAGGAAGAACAGAAGCAACAGCGUACAUCACGAAGAUAGGCACAGAUAAAUGGAUGCAUUCCAAUCCUUCUAAUCCAAAUAUAGAAAAGCAUCCUAUUAGAUUGGUCACCACAGGGUGAGUGUUAUCUAACUUACGGAUUUAGAGUGUGAUGCUAAUUAAAUUACACGCACAACCAAAUUAUUUAUUUUUACUUUCAUAAUAGUAAGAUAUGACUUCUGAAGACUUUGUCGUAUGUUCUUGCGUGAUUUUUUUUUUCAUAAAUGGGUCUUCAAUUUUAUCUUCAAACCUUUACAUGCCAUCAAUAGUUUUGGAGAUAUCCAUGCGUUUGGUGCCAAAUUAUCAUUUGGUGUGGCGAUCAUGACCAAUGGUAAUGUUUUAAUAGGCUGGAAACCUCCAUCAUUCGUCUAGCUACAAAUUUCAAACUAAUGUCAUAUAUGCGAGUGUCAGCAUCAGUGGAAACACUGAGACCUAUUCUGUGAGAAAUAUGAAAUAUGUUUUGGAAAACAUGUGUCAUAAGUUAAUCAUGGGAAAAAAUAAAUAAAAAGAUAUCUUCUUUUCACGUUUUAUUUGUUUUGCUUAUAUACCUAAAAAUCAGUGGCAUUUCUUUUUCUAUUUUUUGCUGGGAAGUAGCCAAUGUAUAGUGUUGCUUCACUUACUAUGCUAUAAGCCUUUUUUGGGCAUUAACUCUGCUGCCAAAGGCAUAUGUAAGCCUUAGAUAUAUGCACUAUAGAAGAAAUGUGGAAUGUUCUGUUAAAGCGUCACAACAUCAAUAAGAAUCUUGCACGCUGUUUAGAUGGUCGAUGGAGAGAUCAAGCAGACUUUUCCCACUAACUUUUUGUCGUCUGUGUCCAGUUUGACGCAGGCUGCCUCCGAACAGCAUGUUGCUUAUGUACAAAUCUUGGAAAAAACUAAUCCUGGAAGCAUCCUUUGAAUAUCAGUACAAACCGGUGCAAUUUUUUAGAUUGAUGUUUCCUGUUGCUCAUCAAUAUAGGUUGCUUUGCCUCUGUCUAUGGUGUUUUUUUUUUCUGGAUGGAAUCAGCUUCCUGAAGAACCAUCAUGUACCUUAUCCUAAUAGUUUGUUUAUAUAUGUUAAGAAAUGCAAUUCAAGGGACUCAACCAGCAAAAUGGAGUUUUGAUUGGGUAAUUUAAUUAUAGCCUUGAUUACCAUUGUCAAUUUUGUCGUGUAACAACUAACAAGGUAUUGGCUUGCAUACAUGCAAUUUUUAGCAAACAUUAUUCUUAGGAGGUCUCUAUACUUAUCAUUUAACUGCAACAAAGAAUUCAAGCGGUGCUGAUACAAUUGCUGAUCACUUGAUCUGAUGCUUUGCAGAGUAACCACUGAGAAUAUGAAAGAGAGCUUGCAAUUCCAUUCGUCAAUGUGCAGUGGCAGGGAACACAUUUACAUUUUGUAGCUAACAAUGACAUCAAGUUGUCGCCGCGCUGGCGACAUCAACGGAUGGAGGGUACGCCUGCUGCAGUGGACUUUGUCAUCUCAUCAGCAUGCUCGCCCGUGACAGUACACGGAAGCUUUCUCUUGCUGUUGAAAUCUCUGAAGAAUUUUAUGGAAGGUUUAUUUGUCUCCUUCCACUCCAAAUUUCGAUUUGACAUUUUAUGAAUCUAACUCAAAACCACUUGUUUGUAGAUUGCAUCAAGGGGGAUAUAUUGGUUUUGAGGCACCAUCACUUUUUUGUUUAGGAGUAGUUUUGCUGCUUUGUUGAUAAGCAUACUGAAGGUAUUAUUUCAUUUUCAUGACGAGGGCGGCGGCAGGGGUUGCUGCAGCUCCAGUGUGGCCCUGGAGCUCGUGGUGUGCCUCAUACUGUACCUUAACUACCUGUACGUCUGAUGGAGCAAAAGGGACGGUGUGCAUCGAACGGGUCCGGGUCGAUGAGGAAGAGGACCGGCAGAGGGGGCUCGACAAGGUGUCACAUUCAAAAGGCGCGGAUGCAUGGUUGCGGCAGCGACGCAUGGUUGCGGCAGCAAGGUCGGGGAGGCGUGUGCAGUCUACCUGGGCGCCAUGCAGGAUGGAUACGGCACGGCGGCCGGGCCGACAAGGAGCAUUUUCAUUAUUAUGGAAAAUGAUGGAUAGCAAAAUCCACAAGAUCACCAGCCGAGGGCAUGUUGCUGGCAGCUAUGCCCAUGCCAGUGUUGGCAGCUAUGCCCAUGCCAGUGUUCAGAUUCAAGGGGGUCGCGCGAUGGCGCAAAGAUUGGUAGCCACUGCUUAUGUGUUGCUUCAUCAUCAUGCCUUGGAAGCAUGGGUGGCUACCGCUGCUUGAUGGUUAGCCAUCCAGUACACAAUUAUUUUUUGUUAGCUUGUUUCAAUUGGAAGCAAUAAUUUUUUGCUAUGACUUCUAGAUUGUAAUCCUUCUUGACUUUUGAAUCAGUGAUAAGUGUAAUCCUACUUGACUUUGCAUCA
Long non-coding RNA from Triticum aestivum (bread wheat), 3754 nucleotides. RefSeq lists it as uncharacterized. The record is from RefSeq and is a predicted model, not a curated record. The transcript is spliced from 5 exons. NCBI's taxonomy places the organism in Eukaryota, Viridiplantae, Streptophyta, Magnoliopsida, Poales, Poaceae.